UGACGAGUUUGAUCCUGGCUCAGAUUGAACGCUGGCGGUAUGCCUUACACAUGCAAGUCGAACGGUAGAGGGGCAACCCUUGAGAGUGGCGAACGGGUGAGUAAUACAUCGGAACGUGCCCAGUCGUGGGGGAUAACGUAGCGAAAGCUACGCUAAUACCGCAUACGACCCGAGGGUGAAAGCGGGGGACUCGCAAGAGCCUCGCGCGAUUGGAGCGGCCGAUGGCAGAUUAGGUAGUUGGUGGGGUAAAGGCCCACCAAGCCUGCGAUCUGUAGCUGGUCUGAGAGGACGACCAGCCACACUGGAACUGAGACACGGUCCAGACUCCUACGGGAGCAGCAGUGGGGAAUUUGGACAAUGGACGCAAGUCUGAUCCAGCCCAUUCCCGCGUGCAGG
Molecule: ribosomal RNA, 396 nt
Filed under: uncultured Sphaerotilus sp.
Lineage: Bacteria; Pseudomonadati; Pseudomonadota; Betaproteobacteria; Burkholderiales; Sphaerotilaceae
Description: bacterial SSU rRNA
Rfam family: Bacterial small subunit ribosomal RNA
Source: RNAcentral